This 1344-nucleotide ribosomal RNA is filed under the name Triticum aestivum (bread wheat). RNAcentral describes it as "partial small subunit ribosomal RNA". Lineage: Eukaryota; Viridiplantae; Streptophyta; Magnoliopsida; Poales; Poaceae. The record is from RNAcentral.
AUGGAUAUGGAACACAAAAUACCAAAAAAAUUAGUUGUACUUGCUACUCAUGAGGAUGGGCUAACUCCUAAAACCCUCGAUUCUCAUUAUGCGAGAGAUAUUAUAUACUACUUUGAUAAUCCUGAGAAAACCCCAUUCAACUUUAUAAUGGGAGUAACGUUGGAUCAACGUGAAUACUUUAGGGAUUAUCGCUUAACACAAAAAGGGAAACUAUUAUGGGAUCAAAUUCAUUUAUUGAAGUGGUAUGCUUGGAAACUAUGCGUGGAAUAUGAUCAUACUUGUUGCUCUAGGAUGAAUUCUCCGCACCUUCCCUUUUCAUGCAAAUUUAAUGAUAAUAAAACCUUAGCUUCUUAUGCUAAUGGUAUAUAUGAUUACUAUGAUGUGGAACAAAUAGAAGAAUUUGUUGCUUUUAUGGGUGCUUAUGAAAUUGAAGCUAUGUGUAAAGAGUUUGAGGAUUAUGAUGAUGUUGUUAAUAGAUCUGAAAAUUUAGGUAUCCUCAAAUAUUGCUAUGAGAAUUAUAAAUACAAUUAUGAAAUUGAUGCACUUAUUAAGAAAGUCUCCGCUGUCCAAGAAGAGACUAAUAUUUUGCAGGAAUCUAUGAAAGAAGAAAUUGAUGAAACUAUGAGCUCAUUGGAUGAAAAAUAUGAGGAGGAGAGCGAAGAACAAGAGGAGGAAGAGCGGAUUGUUCACCCAUGCCCACCUUUUAAUGAGAGUAACUCUUCAACUCAUACAUUGAUUAAUUCCCCUUCGUGCUUACCGAAGGAUGAUUGCUAUGAUGACUGUUAUGAUCCCUAUGAUUCUUUUGAAAUAUCCCUUUUUGAUGAUGCUUGCUAUGCUUGUGGCCAAGAUGCCAAUAUGAAUGAUGCUUAUGGAUAUGAACUUGCUAUAGUUCCUUAUGUUAAACAUGAAAUUGUUGCUAUUGCACCCACGCAUGAUAGUCCUAUUAUCUUUUUGAAUUCUCCCAACUACACUAUAUCGGAGAAGUUUGUGCUUAUUAAGGAUUAUAAUGAUGGGUUGCCUUUUACCGUUGCACAUGAUGAUUUUGAUAGAUAUAAUAUGCAUGUGCUUGCUGCUCCUACUUGCAAUUAUUAUGAGAGAGGAACUAUGUCUCCACCUCUCUAUGUUUCCAAUACUAUGAAAUUGCAAGAAACUGCUUAUACUAUGCAUUGGCCUUUACUCGGUGUGUAUGAAUUGUUCUUUUAUGACAUGCCGAUGCAUAGGAAGAGAGUUAGACUUCGUCAUUACAUGAUUUAUGUUACUUUGUGCUCAGUACUAAAUUACAAAUCAUUGUUAAUUAAAAUUGGCUUUGAUAUACCUUGGGAUCCGGGUGGAUUCAUUACUUGA